AAAACAAAUUAAAGAUAAACAUAAGCAGACCAUUGGGGGGGGUAUACUCUUAACGACCUGAGUAGGCCUGACAGAAAAGUUUUCAGCAGGCAUUUAAAAGUUGGUGUGGAAGGCACCUGCUGAAUUUCUAAUGUCAGGGUGUUCUACAGGACUGAAUUUCGUGUGAUUUCAGUGAUCAGUCUGGAGUAUAAGGUAUUUUGGACCACAGUUGGUCAGGGCUUUGUAAAUCAGCAAGAACCUUGAACCUGGCUUGGUAGCCAGAUGGGUAGCCAGUGUCACAUGUUCUCAGCCAGAAGCUCCCAUCAACAACCUCACUGCAGCAUUCUGCACCAUCUGGAGCUUCUGAACCAGACCCACGGGCAGCCCCAUAUGAAGUGCCUUACAGUAGUCUAACAUUGAGGUUGCUAAUGCAUAGAUUGCAAUGGUCAGGCUAUCCCUGUCUAGGAACAGUCGGAGUUGGCAAACCAAACAAGGGCACUCCUAGCCACAGAGGACACUUAGGCCUCUAGGGACAAAGCUGUAUCUUGGGUAAUUCCCUCCCCAUCCCCUGCCGCUAUUGAUCUCUGAAGUAAGUAUCUCUUUUGCCAGUAAGAUUGCAGUUCGUUUUCUAGGACAAAUUACUUUUAAUACAUAAAGCUUGUGACUUCGUGGGUGAUUAUGGACUACUCCCAGUGGUUGUUUUGCCCUGCUUAGGGAGAACUACCAGGGAAAGAUGAUAUCCAAUCAAGCCAAAUAAUGAUACUCACAGCAUUGGUGCAGUUCCUGUGUGUGAAGGAUUCUGAAAGGCCUCACCAGAGUUCAGUUUUUGACCCCUCCUUCAUCUUCAGGAGCACAUGCACAUGACAUACGUAAGUGAAGCCACAGCAUGAAGCCAUUGCAACUUAUUUUAUUCAGUAAAAGAGAGACUUCAGUCCUUUGCUGUCUUGUAUCUAUCAUGGUAGAAGGCUGCCCACCACCCCCACUGCCAAAUCUAUGAGACACUUCUCUGAACAACCUUCAGCUCCAAAUAUGCCCUCUGCAGGAUUUGGAUGGGCCAACGAAAGAUAGGGAUUUGGAGUCCAGCACUAGUUUACAUUGAUCAAUCAUUCCUCCCUUCCUCCACGCAAUUUAUUUGUGCUCAUGGGCUCCAUGUAUAGGGAGCGGAGGAGGCUUCAGGUCUCCUUCACUGCAGUGGAGCUGUGCACAGUGCAGCCCAGUUGAGAGGGAUGGCAGGUCUCUGCAGCUGAUUCCCCACUCCAAGGAAGCUGCCUUGGCAGCUCCAUCACACACCCAUUGGAGCCUGUUUUGGGGGGCGGGGCACCUGGUCAUGCCCCCUCCAGAAAAUGUGCCCAGUGGAUGGUGGGCUCAGUGGGUCAGGCUGGGUUGGGGGGGGGCGUCGUGUGUGACAUCAUGCACAUGUGAUGCGCCCCUCCCAAAUGUUGGGCACAACUUGGUGCACCUGUUUGUGCUUGAAAUGCACAAAGGAUGACAGAACAUUGAUGCAGAAGCCACGCUACCUAUCUCAAGACAUCUUGCAGAAUAAAAACAAUAUGAAGCCCACCAUAAUUAAUGAAUGAAACAUGGUGAUCAUAAUAUGACACGCAUCCAGCCCAUAAAUAUUAAAGUCCAAAAUAAAAUACAGCUAAAACCAUCAGCCAUCUAAUACCAACUCAAGAUAAAGCCAAAGAAAACAAGAAACUCGGAGCAUUACCAGGAGGAUUGAAAUCUGCGUUGAAGUUGGAUGCAUGGAAUAAAAGCCACAGUUUCAGAUCUAAUACAACCUAUUUAUUGCACCUUUACCACACGAGCUUGAUACAUGCAUGUCAUCAAGCUCACUUACCAUAUAAGGGCAUAAGAACAGCCCUGCUGGAUCAGACUAAAGGCCCAACUGUUCCAGCAUCCUGUUCUUGCAGUGGUCAAGCAGAUAUCUGGGAAACCCACAAAUGAAACUUGAGUGCAACAACAUUCUCUCCUUAUUCCCAGCAUAUGAUAUUCAGAGGCGUAUUACCUUAGACACUAGAGAUGUAACAUAGCCAUCAUGGCAAGUAGCUAUUGAUAGCCUUAUCCUAUUUUAAAGCCAUCUGAAUUGAUGUCUCUCACUAUAUCCUGCUGGACUGUAUCCUUAAUUCAACUAUCUGCUGUGUGAAAAAGUACCUCCUUUUGUUUUUCUUGAAUACAGUUCAUAUAAAACGAAGAACAACUUUAAAUCUUGUGCAUUCAUGCCAACAGGAGUUAAAAAAAAAACCCACCCAUUUUGUUACUCAUUUUAUAGGUCCUUUUCCAAAUUAGCUGCUGAUCACAGCUUUGCUCAUUCACUAAUAUUGUCACUUAUGAAUUUGUAGGCCUUAUUCAAUAUUAUACCAGAAGCUAGUGAAUAUUCUUGUAACUGUCAUUCGCCAGAUGUUUCAUCCAGUAGCAUUUAACACUGAUUUAGAUUGAUUCAGUACAAAUACAUUUCCUUUGAAGCUCUCCUUGGAUUUUUCUUUGCUUUUUUUUAAAAAAAGAAAAACCACACACACACACCUCCCUUUCUUUCUCCCUUCCCCUUUCAAUUAAUGUGACAAGCAACAACCAGGGUCUUUCAUUACUUAUACUUGGUAACUGUGGGCAACAUUUUAGUAGCAUAUCCAUUAAAGUGAAAUGAGGCACAAAGCUCAAUUGUAACAAUUUUAAAUGCGCACCAAAGCGAAAGUAGGCCUUGCUUUGUUUUUAAGGUUAUGAAUGCUCACCACCCUCUUUAUAGAAAAUGUUGGAAGUAAAGGUAAAUUUUAUCCUCCAUCAAAGUGCUGCAGUGACAGAGAGAGAAACCAUAGAGAUUCAUUAGAAUUCAAUGCCGAUCUGUUUGCACCUUUCUUGCUCCCUGUAGACAGAUGGGUUUUAUUCAUUGGUACCUGAAAAGUGCCACUUUGCUAAUAUGUAAAUUUUGCUAAUAUAUAAAUUUGUGUGUGUGUGUGUGUCUUCUUUGCUAUAGAACAUAAUUAUUGUAAUAAUUCUAGCAAAGAAUGAAAGUUGAAUAAAAUGAUGCACUUACAAGAUAAGCAGCUGCUCUUACAGCUUUUUAAAUCACAUUUAAAGUUUGUGGGCACCCCAAAGCCUAAAGUGUGAAACAUCUUACUUGCUUUCUUUGCAGAGAAGCAGAAAUACUAUCAUUCAGAACUGACUGCACUACACAAGUCCUUCCUCUUGUCUUGCCCCCUUCUGGUCAGGAAUGCACAACCAGAUAAGUGACUCAUACAGGUUUGAGCAAGCCACUCUUCUUACUCUUACACACUCUGGAAAGAAAGAAAAAGCUUUUUAGAAAUUAGGAAAAAAAAGUGUUUCAGCAAUAUAAGUUUGGGAACUGUGCUAGCUCAAGGUUUUGAAGGGCUUGGUCAAGAUGCCACCCAUUUCUUCUUCCACCGCUUAUUCACUUACUCUUGGGCAAAUUUUGGCCCAUGCUUUGGGACCAAAUUAUGAAAUAGCUGGAUUUGGUUAGACAACCCAAAUAGACAAAAGAAUGCAGAGCUGGAGACUAGAUUCCCCUGAUCAGCUGGGCACAUAACCACAGAGAGACAUGGUGGAUAGAUCCAGGUGUUGGGGAAAUGACUGGUAGCCUUGAAUAGAUUGUAAAUCAUUAUUAUUGUUACAUCUGUACAUUUGCCAUUUGAGGGUGUGCUGUCUGUUAGCAGUGUCAUUCUUCAGGCUUAAGCUCCUUUUCCAGGGUCUCUAGAAGAAAAAUCUCAGGGUGGGUUGAUGGGUGUUUCUUGUCUCUAAAUAUGCACGUAGAUAAAUAUGUGCACAUGUAAGGUUCCUGCCAACCUAGCAGUUCGAAAGCACAUCAAAGUGCAAGUAGAUACGGUAAAUAGGUACCGCUCCAGCGGGAAGGUAAACGGUGUUUCCGUGCGCUGCUCUGGUUCGCCAGAAGCGGCUUAGUCAUGCUGGCCGCAUGACCCGGAAGCUGUCUGCGGACAAAUGCUGGCUCCCUCGGUCAUGACUGGACCUAAUGGUCAGGGGUCCCUUUACCUUUAAGGCUCCAUGCAGUGCACAGCUUGCAAUGCCCAGAUACUGUGUGGAUUUCAGAGGAGGGGGGAGAAUACAGAUAGCCCAAGUUGCCCCCAAUCUCCCAUAUUCCUCCUUGCUCAUGUGCCCUAGCCUUCACCACUCAUGGGAGAGGGUUCUUCUGCACCUAUUCUUUUCCCUCCUAAGAUUUCCUGUGCCAGUUAAUUUUGGGAGUCAGGAGGGAGCCUUCCUUGUCCUCCGCUUGCUGAAAUGUAAACACCUUCUAACAGACAUGGCAGGUUUUUGGCCCCUUCUCUCAGCCCUGUUGAGGUCUCCACACUUUACUGUCUCCCUGUUUUCCUGCUGUUGGUUGUUUAUAUCCAUAGCAUUACAGUCGCAGCAAGGUACCUUAUGUAAUUGGAUUAGUGGUUCACCAGGCAGCACCACAUAGGCCUUAUCUAGAAAGCAGCUUUUAAGUACAACCAAAACUUACCCAAAACCUGGAGUACCUUCCGUUGCAUUGUAUUAUCAUCUCCCUGCUUACAAUUGGGGUUUGGGUUGUGUGUGUGUGUGUGUGUGUGUGUGUGUGUGUGUGUUCCACAGGAUAAGCUAAAGUGAAAGGGUGUUAUGUGUAUUAGAGUUUCAUUCAGUUUUUGUAAUGUCAUAGCAGGAAACUGAAUUUCAGUGAAUGGAAAUACUGUUGCCAAAUGUUAACAAACAAUUCCCUCAGUUUGUAUGCAUUGUUAUAGGAUCCACUGUCCUUUUCUCUUUUCACUUUUUUAUAUAAAAAGGGUGCCCCCCUGUUUUUCUGUACAAUACACUAAGAAGAUUUACAGUUUAUAAAACUGGGACAGCCUGGCAGGGGACAUUAGGACAGGCCUGUCCACAAACCAUCUUCAGAGGAUAAUAAUAUCAGUGAUAAAAUGACUGCCAUGACAAUUGCAGAGAAAGGUGAAUUGCAGUGUAUGUGCAAUAAACUACCUAUAUAUAUAUAUAUGAGAGAGAAAGCGCUUUUGAGUGUUCGGUACUCAUUUUCAUUAAAUGCAGCAAGAAACACCUCCACUAAAUCCCAGUAAUUUGGCUUUUGUACACGCGACCAAAUUAACAUAGGAAGAAAUGGCAUAACUAAAAGAUUUGUUUUAAAUAUCUGCUAGCAGUGAUGUGCUUUCCUAACAUUUCAGUAGAAGUUAGAAGCAAAAUACUGUUAACAAAACAUUUCUUGCUGUUAGAGGGUCAGGUAUUUUAUCAGAACCCUCCCAUAGAUUUUGAACCAUUUUCUGGUUGCCUGUUAAUUGCAGCUGAAUGUUACCAAGAUCCCUCCUUCCCCGGUAUGCCUUAGCAACUUUAAAAUAGAAAGAAAUGUGGUAAGUGAACAUGCUUUCUGGGAUGGAGAUGUGUUAUGGGAAAAGCUUCAGCUGGAGGAUUUCUGCUUCUUGUGCAACUGUUAAAGGCACAUAUGUGGUGCAAAAAUAAAAUACACCCUAUAUGAAUGCCAUUAAAUGUUAUUACAGAGUAAAUCAAAGAACAUGCAUUUAUUUACAUGGUAUUAACUCUUAUUGAUUCCUACUGUACUUAGC
Molecule: non-coding RNA, 5534 nt
Organism: Podarcis lilfordi (Lilford's wall lizard)
Lineage: Eukaryota; Metazoa; Chordata; Lepidosauria; Squamata; Lacertidae
Source: the annotation of a GenBank genome assembly